Molecule: non-coding RNA, 74 nt
Organism: Pteropus alecto (black flying fox)
Lineage: Eukaryota; Metazoa; Chordata; Mammalia; Chiroptera; Pteropodidae
Source: Rfam
GGCUCCAUAGCGUAGUGGUUAGCACAUCUGCUUUACAUGCAGAAGGUCCUGUGUUCGUGCCCCAGGUAGAGCCA